This 468-nucleotide ribosomal RNA is filed under the name uncultured bacterium. Its description in RNAcentral is "partial 16S ribosomal RNA". It matches the Rfam family "Bacterial small subunit ribosomal RNA", at positions 28 to 507 of the family's 1533-position model. The record is from RNAcentral.
GACGAACGCUGGCGGCGUGCUUAACACAUGCAAGUCGAACGGAAAGGCCAUGCUUUUGUGGGGUGCUCGAGUGGCGAACGGGUGAGUAACACGUGAGUAACCUGCCCUUGACUUUGGGAUAACUUCAGGAAACUGGGGCUAAUACAGGAUAGGAGCUCCUGCUGCAUGGUGGGGGUUGGAAAGUUUCGGCGGUUGGGGAUGGACUCGCGGCUUAUCAGCUUGUUGUUGGGGUAGUGGCUUACCAAGGCUUUGACGGGUAGCCGGCCUGAGAGGGUGACCGGCCACAUUGGGACUGAGAUACGGCCCAGACUCCUACGGGAGGCAGCAGUGGGGAAUAUUGCACAAUGGGCGGAAGCCUGAUGCAGCAACGCCGCGUGCGGGAUGACGGCCUUCUGGUUGUAAACCGCUUUCGCCUGUGACGAAGCGUGAGUGACGGUAAUGGGUAAAGAAGCACCGGCUAACUACGUG